GGGAAUGUGGCUUAGUGAUAAAGUGCUUGCCUAGCAUGCAUGAAACCCUGGGUUCGAUUCCUCAGUACCA
Molecule: transfer RNA, 70 nt
Filed under: Dipodomys ordii (Ord's kangaroo rat)
Lineage: Eukaryota; Metazoa; Chordata; Mammalia; Rodentia; Heteromyidae
Rfam family: tRNA
About the family: Transfer RNA (tRNA) molecules are approximately 80 nucleotides in length. Their secondary structure includes four short double-helical elements and three loops (D, anti-codon, and T loops).
Source: Rfam by way of RNAcentral